AGCGAACGCUGGCGGCAGGCUUAACACAUGCAAGUCGAGCGGGCCUUUCGGGGUCAGCGGCGGACGGGUGAGUAACGCGUGGGAACGUGCACUCUGGUUCGGCAUAACUCAGGGAAACUUGAGCUAAUACCGGAUACGCCCUAUUGGGGAAAGGCUUGCUGACGGAGGAUCGGCCCGCGUCUGAUUAGCUAGUUGGUGAGGUAACGGAUCACCAAGGCGACGAUCAGUAGCUGGUCUGAGAGGAUGAUCAGCCACACUGGGACUGAGACACGGCCCAGACUCCUACGGGAGGCAGCAGUGGGGAAUAUUGGACAAUGGGCGCAAGCCUGAUCCAGCCAUGCCGCGUGAGUGGUGAAGGCCUUAGGGUUGUAAAGCUCUUUUAUCCGGGACGAUAAUGACGGUACCGGAGGAAUAAGCCCCGGCUAACUUCGUG
This 433-nucleotide ribosomal RNA is filed under the name uncultured bacterium. RNAcentral's name for it is "partial 16S ribosomal RNA". It matches the Rfam family "Bacterial small subunit ribosomal RNA", at positions 29 to 507 of the family's 1533-position model. The record is from RNAcentral.